CGGGAAUAUUGCGCAAUGGAGGAAACUCUGACGCAGUGACGCCGCGUGCAGGAAGAAGGUUUUCGGAUUGUAAACUGCUUUAGACAGGGAAGAACAAAGACAGUACCUGUAGAAUAAGCUCCGGCUAACUACGUGCCAGCAGCCGCGGUAAUACGUAGGGAGCAAGCGUUAUCCGGAUUUAUUGGGUGUAAAGGGUGCGUAGACGGGAAAUUAAGUUAGUUGUGAAAUCCCUCGGCUUAACUGAGGAACUGCAACUAAAACUGGUUUUCUUGAGUGUUGGAGAGGAAAGUGGAAUUCCUAGUGUAGCGGUGAAAUGCGUAGAUAUUAGGAGGAACACCAGUGGCGAAGGCGACUUUCUGGACAAUAACUGACGUUGAGGCACGAAAGUGUGGGGAGCAAACAGGAUUAGAUACCCUGGUAGUCCACACCGUAAACGAUGGAUACUAGGUGUAGGGUGUGAUAAACAUUCUGUGCCGUCGCAAACGCAAUAAGUAUCCCACCUGGGGAGUACGGCCGCAAGGUUGAAACUCAAAGGAAUUGACGGGGGCCCGCACAAGCAGUGGAGUAUGUGGUUUAAUUCGACGCAACGCGAAGAACCUUACCAGGGCUUGACAUAUACAGGAAUAUGUAAGAGAUUACAUAGCUCUUCGGAGUCUGUAUACAGGUGGUGCAUGGUUGUCGUCAGCUCGUGUCGUGAGAUGUUGGGUUAAGUCCCGCAACGAGCGCAACCCCUGUUCUUAGUUGCCAGCACGCAAUGGUGGGAACUCUAAGAAGACUGCCGGUGAUAAAUCGGAGGAAGGUGGGGACGACGUCAAAUCAUCAUGCCCUUUAUGUCCUGGGCUACACACGUACUACAAUGGCUAUUACAGAGGGAAGCGAAGCCGCGAGGUGGAGCAAAACCCAAAAAAGUAGUCUCAGUUCAGAUUGAAGGCUGAAAUUCGCCUUCAUGAAGCCGGAAUUGCUAGUAAUGGCAGGUCAGCAUACUGCCGUGAAUACGUUCCCG
Molecule: ribosomal RNA, 1003 nt
Filed under: uncultured organism
Description: bacterial SSU rRNA
Rfam family: Bacterial small subunit ribosomal RNA
Source: RNAcentral